UACGUAGGGGGCUAGCGUUGUCCGGAUUUAUUGGGCGUAAAGAGCGUGUAGGCGGCCAGGUAGGUCCGGUGUGAAAACUCGAGGCUUAACCUCGAGAUGUCAUCGGAAACCAUCUGGCUAGAGUCCGGAAGAGGAGAGUGGAAUUCCUGGUGUAGCGGUGAAAUGCGCAGAUAUCGGGAAGAACACCCGUGGCGAAGGCGGUUCUCUGGGACGGUACUGACGCUGAGACGCGAAAGCGUGGGGAGCGAACAGG
This 253-nucleotide ribosomal RNA is filed under the name uncultured bacterium. RNAcentral's name for it is "partial 16S ribosomal RNA". It matches the Rfam family "Bacterial small subunit ribosomal RNA", at positions 524 to 776 of the family's 1533-position model. The record is from RNAcentral.